RNAcentral lists this ribosomal RNA (405 nucleotides) under uncultured bacterium. RNAcentral describes it as "bacterial SSU rRNA". It matches the Rfam family "Bacterial small subunit ribosomal RNA", at positions 355 to 776 of the family's 1533-position model. The record is from RNAcentral.
UGAGGAAUAUUCGGCAAUGGGGGCAACCCUGACCGAGCAACGCCGCGUGGAGGAUGACGGUUUUUGGAUUGUAAACUCCUUUUCUCAGGGAAGAGUGAGGACGGUACCUGAGGAAUAAGUCACGGCUAACUACGUGCCAGCAGCCGCGGUAAUACGUAGGUGGCAAGCGUUAUCCGGAAUUACUGGGCGUAAAGCGCACGCAGGUGGCUUUCUAAGAUUGACGUGAAAACUGCUGGCUUAACUGGCAGACGUCGUUGAUGACUGGGAGGCUUGAGGCGAGGAGAGGGGUGUAGAAUUCCCGGUGUAGUGGUGGAAUGCGUAGAGAUCGGGAGGAAUACCAGAGGCGAAAGCGGCACCCUGGCCUUGGCCUGACGCUCAGGUGCGAAAGCGUGGGGAGCGAACGGG